Apus apus (common swift) is the source of this 3128-nucleotide long non-coding RNA. RefSeq lists it as uncharacterized. The transcript is spliced from 2 exons. The record is from RefSeq and is a predicted model, not a curated record. Lineage: Eukaryota; Metazoa; Chordata; Aves; Apodiformes; Apodidae.
UGUGGCGCUGAGUUUGCAUUCCGGUGUCAGAAACGUGCUGUGGGGUUUGCUUCACAUAUAUAUAUAAAUACUGUAGUGUUAGGAAUGUAAUAGUUUGCUUGAGAUAAGUGAGGUCUCUGCACAUCCCAAUGACUCCAGGGGUGGUUCCGGCCCAAGAAGCUGAGGGGCUGAGUCGGGCUCCGUCAGGGGAUCCCAGCAUGGAGCAGGAUUUGUGGCCCGAGAUCAGGCCCAACACGGCUGCUUCUGUGCUGCUCCUCGGGGCAGGCUGGCACCAGUAGAUUGUUAAUCGGGAAGGCAGCCAAGGGGGCAAGAAAGGUCAAAAUUUUACCUUAGAAGGUAAAAAGUGACCUGCUAGAAUGGAACGUGUGAACGGGGGGGAAACUCACAGGAUCAUUUGAAGUCGGAUGGGCUGGAAACCCUGGAGUGCCCAGCCUGGGGGGAAACGGGAAGGAACUUUGGGAACAGGGAAUAUAAACCGUUAUUCACCUUGCUGUGGGUGUGCCUGCUUGCUUAGGUCACCCGUUCUGGGAAGGAUGUAAAUAAACUCUGCUUGGCUGAGGGAUCCGUGUGGGGCUGCUCAUGGGCGCGACACAUUUCUCACAAGGGGACCCUGCUGCUGAAGGACAAGCUGCAGCCCCUGCAGCCCCACGGGGAUGGUUCUGGAAGGUGGAGGUCCCUGCUGGAGCUUCACCCCUGCUGUGCAGUGAGGGACGGGAGCAGAUGGCUCAGCGAGCAGCGCCAGGGCUGGCUGGCGCCUCGGCUGACGGGCUGGGUUCCCAGGGGGCUGGCAGCUGCGGGCUGGGGGUCCCACAGGGGCUGCUCUUCCUUCAGUGCCUUUCCUGCUCGGGGGGGAGCAGAGCGUGCAAGGGCCCUGCUGCCAGCCAGGAUGGGCAGGUCCCACGCCUGGGUGGCAGUGCUGCUGCUGGAGGCCCAGCAGUUCUCAGGAGGGACCUGGCUGGGGCAGGGAAUGGGCUGCCAGGGACCCUGGGAAGUCCAGCAAAGGCAACUGCCAAGGUCCCAGCCAGGGAUGGGACACUUCUGUGUGCCAGCCUGGCUCAGCUGCCCUGGCUUUCACUCCCCCCAGCUGUAGCACCUGGCUGACUCCAGCCUGCUGAAGGGUUUGGUCACGAUGGAGACCCCCAGACCGUGGCUGGCCACCCACUAAAGAAAAGUGUCUUUAUCAACUUGGUUCCCACUGCAGUCUGCUCAAAAAUGCAGCUUUUCUGAACAGAAAGUUGAUGCUAUGAUUCUAUCCCAGCAAAACCAGGAUAACAGCAAAUGCUUAAUGGCCUUCUAAGGGAGCUUCUUAAAGGUCUUCUCGUAAAUGCCAGCUCUGCUCCACGCUGGACCAGGUGAAGAAACGCUUUGAGGUCAACAAGAAGAAGAUGGAGGAGAAGCAGAAGGACUAUGACUUUGAGGAGAGGAUGAAGGAGCUCCGUGAGGAGAAUCAUGGAAUAUGCUGAGUUGGAAGGGACCCAUCAGGACCACGAGUCCAACUCCUGUCCCUUGGGGUGUAGGGCACCCCAGGAAUCACACCCUGGGCCUGAGAGCAUCACCCAAACACUGCUUGAACUCGGGCAGGCCUGGUGCUGUGACCUGGGGAGCUGGUUCCAGGGCUCAACCACGCUCUGGGUGAAAAACCUUCUCCUGAUAUCCCACCUAAGCCUCCCCUGCUUCAGCUUCCUGCCAAACAGAGACCCAGCCCCCAGUUUUGAAGAGCAGUGCACAGCCCAGAGGAAAGCUUUCCUAACAGCAGAGACUAGAAGGAGGCUGUUUGUUUCACCUUGCAAAGUGAAAACUGCCUGUUAACUCAUGCUGAACUUCAACCACAGACGGGCGAGACCUUCCAGCAGGGCUUUUACGAGACGAAAGGUAAAACGCGAUGGACCCCAAGGAACCCCGGUGUGGUUGCAGGGGCCGCGCAGCAGAACCGCCGCACUAGGGAAGUGCAACUUGGUGCAGCCGGGGCUGGAAACUGCGGGUAGGGCUGAAGAGCAGCACUUGAGGGCAGCAGAGCCCUGUGGAACAGUCGCUGCUGCUCCCUCCUGUGGCUGCGUCCUCACGGAAGGUGUGAGUACCCGCCACCAGCCUCGCAAACGCUGUUCUGCAUGAGGCAAAGUGGGUGUUUCGAGGGCACAGCCCUGCCCGGCACCUCUUUGCCAGUAACUUGCUUUAUUUCAGCUUCACGAGGUGACCACUGCUGGUUAUAAGCAGCAUCCUCUACAAAGUGUUCUUUGCUCUGAACCUGCAGAGCUGCCAGCCAAACUGAGCUGCUCUUCAGAGCUUACAUGGAUAAAAGGUUGAAAGACACAAAUCCAAAUAGGUCCUGAUCCAUCUUUUUAGCUAUUGUCAACCUUCAGAAAUCAUUACCUUUGGCUUCUUCUCCCCUCCUGUCCCAGAUGCAGAGUCAUCCUGUAUUUGCAAGGCUCCAUAAUUUGACCUUCUCACACAAUCAGAAAGUUUCUGCCCAAAGGCUUCAGGUCCCAAGUGUCAGGAUGGGUUUGGAGCUCUCAGGAGUGGAGCAAACAAAGCUGGGAACACUUCCUGCCUCUCAGCACCAGAGAUGGCCUCAUAGGGAGUCAGGUUUGGGGCCUCCUGGAGAAUCUGUUUUGUUAGUGUCAGCGUUUGUAUUCAAGAUCAUGGUAUUUGUAAGGGCUCAAAAUUGACUCUAGCUCUUGCAUUAGAAAGCAACGUUACAGCCAAGGGGCACACUUGGCAUGAGGCUUCAGCACCAGACGUGUGAGCAGGGAUGAGAUGAGAGAUCUCGACAUUCCAGGAUCCAGUCUCUCACCACCAGCAGUGCAAGGAUACUCUUUCCCAGCCUCUGCAGGGACAGGCUCCCUCAGCACAGGCAGCAAGAGGGAGAAAAGAGGCAGAUUCCCCAGGAGUAGGACUGCUGCAUCAUUCCUCUUGGUUAAGUCACUUGUCUUUCCUUAAGCUGGUGAUAAUGAUCAGUGACUGCACAAGCAUUUUGAACAGCACUCGAUCAACUCCAGUUCCCACCACAAACUGAAUUUAAAUGACUAAGUUUUGUUUGUUUGUUUUUAUUUUGAGCAAAGCAGUGAUUAAUGCACAGUCUCGGGGCUAGAGAAACUGUGAAGGAUUAAAUCUACAGACAAAAAGGGUCA